GGAGCAUGCGGAUUAAUUCGAUGCAACGCGAAGAACCUUACCAAGGCUUGACAUACACCGGUAACGCCCCAGAGAUGGGUGCCCCUUUGUGGUCGGUGGACAGGUGGUGCAUGGUUGUCGUCAGCUCGUGUCGUGAGAUGUUGGGUUAAGUCCCGCAACGAGCGCAACCCCUAUUGUUAGUUGUCCAUCAGUUCAGUUGGGCGACUCUAGCGGAGACUGGCCGGUAAUAACCGGAGGAGGUGGGGAUGACGUCAAAUCAUCAUGCCCCUUAUGACCUGGGCUACACACGUGCUACAAUGGUUGGUACAACGAGUUGCGAGUCGGUGACGGCGAGCUAAUCUCUUAAAGCCAAUCUCAGUUCGGAUUGUAGGCUGCAACUCGCCUACAUGAAGUCGGAAUCGCUAGUAAUCGCGGAUCAGCACGCCGCGGUGAAUACGUUCCCGGGCCUU
Molecule: ribosomal RNA, 449 nt
Filed under: uncultured Streptococcus sp.
Lineage: Bacteria; Bacillati; Bacillota; Bacilli; Lactobacillales; Streptococcaceae
Description: bacterial SSU rRNA
Rfam family: Bacterial small subunit ribosomal RNA
Source: RNAcentral